CCAAUAGCGUAUAUUAAAGUUGUUGCAGUUAAAAAGCUCGUAGUUGAAUUUCGGAAUCAGUGCGCUGGUCGUGCCUCUGGUAUGCACUGGUGUUACUGAUUUCUCCCUUCUGAAGAACUAUCAUGCCAUUAAUUUGGUGUGGUAGGGAAUCAGGACUGUUACUUUGAAAAAAUUAGAGUGUUUAAAGCAGGCUCACGCUUGAAUACAUUAGCAUGGAAUAAUGAAAUAGGACGUUGAUCUUAUUUUGUUGGUUUCUAGGAUUGACGUAAUGAUUAAUAGGGAUAGUUGGGGGCAUUAGUAUUCAAUUGUCAGAGGUGAAAUUCUUGGAUUUAUUGAAGACUAACUACUGCGAAAGCAUUUGCCAAGGAUGUUUUCAUUAAUCAAGAACGAAAGUUAGGGGAUCGAAGACGAUCAGAUACCGUCGUAGUCUUAACCAUAAACUAUGCCGACUAGGGAUCGGAUGAUGUUAAUUUUUUAAUGACUCAUUCGGCGCCUUACG
Molecule: ribosomal RNA, 499 nt
Filed under: uncultured Glomeromycotina
Lineage: Eukaryota; Fungi; Glomeromycota
Description: partial small subunit ribosomal RNA
Rfam family: Eukaryotic small subunit ribosomal RNA
Source: RNAcentral